CCCUUAGAUGUUCUGGGCCGCACGCGUGCUACACUGAACGGUUCAAUGGGUAAGGUAGUGCGAAAGCAUGACCUAAUCUCGAAAUCCGUUCGUGCUGGGGAUAGAAGCUUGCAAUUAUCCUUCUUGAACGAGGAAUACCUUGUAAGCGUGAGUCAUCAUCUCACGCUGAAUACGUCCCUGCCCUUUGUACACACCGCCCGUCGCUCCUACCGAUUGAGUGUUCCGGUGAGGCUUUGGGAGAAUGGCCUCAACAUGAGUUUAUCGUGUUUUGCCGUUUGAACUUGGUCAAACCUUAUCACUUAGAGGAAGGAGAAGUCGUAACA
RNAcentral lists this ribosomal RNA (323 nucleotides) under uncultured eukaryote. RNAcentral's name for it is "partial 18S ribosomal RNA". It matches the Rfam family "Eukaryotic small subunit ribosomal RNA", at positions 1470 to 1796 of the family's 1831-position model. The record is from RNAcentral.